Chrysemys picta bellii (western painted turtle) is the source of this 431-nucleotide non-coding RNA. Lineage: Eukaryota; Metazoa; Chordata; Testudines; Emydidae. The record is from RefSeq and is a predicted model, not a curated record.
GAUCAAAGCAAGUUCGAUAUAACACGGUUUCACCUAUAACGCGAGGCAGGACACUUUAGUAGAAUACAUUAAUACAGAAUAUGAACCACCAGGAUCUGAAGAGGAAUUUGUUGAUAAAUACCACAAGGUCAAGGAUGAAGCUACAAAAAAGAGGAAGAUAUCAAAGAAGAAUAAAUAAGGAAUUUAUGCAUGUGCAAGUACUUCAAAUUCAGUUAAGCCCACAAGAAGUAUUUUGGUUGCUUGAAAUAUACUGAAGAGAUUUUUAUUUUCAAACUGAAGAAGGAAUUUAGUUCAAGCAGCUGUUUUUAAAUCUUUUAAGUCUUCAAUUCUAAUAUACUCAGACUGUUUUUAAAGGGGAAAAGUAACUUAUUGUAUUGAACAUUUUAUAAAUAAAAGGUGUUAUGAAAAAAUAAAUUUGUCCACAAAAUACA